This 492-nucleotide ribosomal RNA is filed under the name uncultured bacterium. RNAcentral's name for it is "partial 16S ribosomal RNA". It matches the Rfam family "Bacterial small subunit ribosomal RNA", at positions 29 to 507 of the family's 1533-position model. The record is from RNAcentral.
AGUGAACGCUGGCGGUAGGCCUAACACAUGCAAGUCGAACGGCAGCACAGUAAGAGCUUGCUCUUACGGGUGGCGAGUGGCGGACGGGUGAGGAAUACAUCGGAAUCUACUUUUUCGUGGGGGAUAACGUAGGGAAACUUACGCUAAUACCGCAUACGACCUACGGGUGAAAGCAGGGGAUCUUCGGACCUUGCGCGAUUGAAUGAGCCGAUGUCGGAUUAGCUAGUUGGCGGGGUAAAGGCCCACCAAGGCGACGAUCCGUAGCUGGUCUGAGAGGAUGAUCAGCCACACUGGAACGGAGACACGGUCCAGACUCCUACGGGAGGCAGCAGUGGGGAAUAUUGGACAAUGGGCGCAAGCCUGAUCCAGCCAUACUGCGUGGGUGAAGAAGGCCUUCGGGUUGUAAAGCCCGUUUGUUGGGAAAGAAAAGCAGCAGGUUAAUACCCCGCUGUUCUGACGGUACCCAAAGAAUAAGCACCGGCUAACUUCGUG